UUAGAGACUUGUAAAAGUGGAAGCUAAAGA
RNAcentral lists this non-coding RNA (30 nucleotides) under Rattus norvegicus (Norway rat). Lineage: Eukaryota; Metazoa; Chordata; Mammalia; Rodentia; Muridae. The record is from RNAcentral.